UGCACAAGUUUUAAUGGUAGAACGUUGGUCUCCAAAACCAAAAGUAAGGGUUCAAUUCCCUUUUUUCCUG
This 70-nucleotide transfer RNA is filed under the name Pyramimonas parkeae. Its description in RNAcentral is "tRNA-Trp". The stretch from base 7 to 62 matches the Rfam family "tRNA", at positions 9 to 63 of the family's 71-position model. Rfam says of the family: Transfer RNA (tRNA) molecules are approximately 80 nucleotides in length. Lineage: Eukaryota; Viridiplantae; Chlorophyta; Pyramimonadophyceae; Pyramimonadales; Pyramimonadaceae. The record is from RNAcentral.